Molecule: long non-coding RNA, 443 nt
Organism: Eubalaena glacialis (North Atlantic right whale)
Lineage: Eukaryota; Metazoa; Chordata; Mammalia; Artiodactyla; Balaenidae
Exons: 2
Source: RefSeq, a predicted model, not a curated record
CGUUACUCAACACCUGUCAUCUCCCCAUCUCACUUGGAGCAAAAUUCGAACAGCCAUCCUUCUUCAAACUUUCCAGGCUUGCUCCCACCUAAGGUGGAAGAAGUUAACUACAUGAUGACCAGACUGUAGCCAUGACAGAAGCUGCCACAAUUCUGAGAAUUGGCCUCAUGGAAAUGGGAACAAACUGACCCUGGAACUGAAGAUUAACUGUACUUAAAACAAUCAAGAUGAUGCUGGUCAGACCACCGAUGACCAAUUUCACAGAUGACCAUCAGAGCUGACUGUGCUGUCUCUGCAUGUAGCCCCCUCUCUCCGUCUAUAAAAGCUCUUGCCCACUGGUUGUCAGUGGAGGGGAGUCAGCCUUUGGACAGGAGUCUGCCCUUCCCCUUCCCCGGCCCCCGCAAUUGCCAGCCUCAGAAAUAAAGCAAACUUCCUUUCCACCA